This 1462-nucleotide ribosomal RNA is filed under the name Mycobacterium sp. Its description in RNAcentral is "16S ribosomal RNA". It matches the Rfam family "Bacterial small subunit ribosomal RNA". The record is from RNAcentral. Lineage: Bacteria; Bacillati; Actinomycetota; Actinomycetes; Mycobacteriales; Mycobacteriaceae.
GGCGGCGUGCUUAACACAUGCAAGUCGAACGGAAAGGCCCUUCGGGGUACUCGAGUGGCGAACGGGUGAGUAACACGUGGGUAAUCUGCCCUGCACAUCGGGAUAAGCCUGGGAAACUGGGUCUAAUACCGGAUAGGACCACGGGAUGCAUGUCCUGUGGUGGAAAGCUUUUGCGGUGUGGGAUGGGCCCGCGGCCUAUCAGCUUGUUGGUGGGGUGACGGCCUACCAAGGCGACGACGGGUAGCCGGCCUGAGAGGGUGUCCGGCCACACUGGGACUGAGAUACGGCCCAGACUCCUACGGGAGGCAGCAGUGGGGAAUAUUGCACAAUGGGCGCAAGCCUGAUGCAGCGACGCCGCGUGGGGGAUGACGGCCUUCGGGUUGUAAACCUCUUUCACCAUCGACGAAGGUUCGGGUUUUCUCGGAUUGACGGUAGGUGGAGAAGAAGCACCGGCCAACUACGUGCCAGCAGCCGCGGUAAUACGUAGGGUGCGAGCGUUGUCCGGAAUUACUGGGCGUAAAGAGCUCGUAGGUGGUUUGUCGCGUUGUUCGUGAAAUCUCACGGCUUAACUGUGAGCGUGCGAGCGAUACGGGCAGACUUGAGUACUGCAGGGGAGACUGGAAUUCCUGGUGUAGCGGUGGAAUGCGCAGAUAUCAGGAGGAACACCGGUGGCGAAGGCGGGUCUCUGGGCAGUAACUGACGCUGAGGAGCGAAAGCGUGGGGAGCGAACAGGAUUAGAUACCCUGGUAGUCCACGCCGUAAACGGUGGGUACUAGGUGUGGGUUUCCUUCCUUGGGAUCCGUGCCGUAGCUAACGCAUUAAGUACCCCGCCUGGGGAGUACGGCCGCAAGGCUAAAACUCAAAGGAAUUGACGGGGGCCCGCACAAGCGGCGGAGCAUGUGGAUUAAUUCGAUGCAACGCGAAGAACCUUACCUGGGUUUGACAUGCACAGGACGCCGGCAGAGAUGUCGGUUCCCUUGUGGCCUGUGUGCAGGUGGUGCAUGGCUGUCGUCAGCUCGUGUCGUGAGAUGUUGGGUUAAGUCCCGCAACGAGCGCAACCCUUGUCUCAUGUUGCCAGCGGGUAAUGCCGGGGACUCGUGAGAGACUGCCGGGGUCAACUCGGAGGAAGGUGGGGAUGACGUCAAGUCAUCAUGCCCCUUAUGUCCAGGGCUUCACACAUGCUACAAUGGCCGGUACAAAGGGCUGCGAUGCCGCGAGGUUAAGCGAAUCCUUUUAAAGCCGGUCUCAGUUCGGAUCGGGGUCUGCAACUCGACCCCGUGAAGUCGGAGUCGCUAGUAAUCGCAGAUCAGCAACGCUGCGGUGAAUACGUUCCCGGGCCUUGUACACACCGCCCGUCACGUCAUGAAAGUCGGUAACACCCGAAGCCAGUGGCCUAACCCUUUGGGAGGGAGCUGUCGAAGGUGGGAUCGGCGAUUGGGACGAAGUCGUAACAAGGUAGCCG